GGCAGCGAAGUCAUGCUAGUGGAUGAAAAUGUUGGAUGUUAAACAAUGAUCUUUAGGUUAUAUGUUGAACUAUGACAGUGGAUUUUGGGUUGUUUUUUUUUUUUUUUUGGAUUAUGAAAUAGAUUUUGGGUUGUUUUUUUUUAUGUUAAAGAAGUACUUAUUUUGAAUUACAUAUUAUUAUCAACUGUGAACUAAUUAGUUUAGUAAAUUAAAUUAACUAUGUACAAAUUUAUGAACUGCACACGAAUUUUUCAACUG
Molecule: long non-coding RNA, 258 nt
Filed under: Salvia miltiorrhiza (redroot sage)
Lineage: Eukaryota; Viridiplantae; Streptophyta; Magnoliopsida; Lamiales; Lamiaceae
Description: long non-coding RNA (SMIL_LNC003177)
Source: RNAcentral